RNAcentral lists this ribosomal RNA (288 nucleotides) under uncultured bacterium. RNAcentral describes it as "partial 16S ribosomal RNA". It matches the Rfam family "Bacterial small subunit ribosomal RNA", at positions 773 to 1060 of the family's 1533-position model. The record is from RNAcentral.
GUGGAUUAGAUACCCUGGUAGUCCUAGCCGUAAACGGUGAUCACUAGGUGUUGGGGGCAUUGACCCCUCCAGUGCCGCAGCUAACGCAUUAAGUGAUCCGCCUGGGGAGUACGGCCGCAAGGUUGAAACUCAAAGGAAUUGACGGGGGCCCGCACAAGCGGUGGAGCAUGUGGUUUAAUUCGACGCAACGCGAAGAACCUUACCCAGGCUUGACAUGCACUAGACGGGUGUGGAAACACACCUUCCCUUCGGGGCUGGUGCACAGGUGCUGCAUGGCUGUCGUCAGCU